GUUUUAAUAAUUUAAAUAAAAUACUGGUCUUGUAAAUCAGUUAUAAGGACUCUAUCCUCCUUUUAAAACA
This 70-nucleotide transfer RNA is filed under the name Rhynchophorus ferrugineus (red palm weevil). RNAcentral's name for it is "tRNA-Thr". It matches the Rfam family "tRNA". Rfam says of the family: Transfer RNA (tRNA) molecules are approximately 80 nucleotides in length. Their secondary structure includes four short double-helical elements and three loops (D, anti-codon, and T loops). Further hydrogen bonds mediate the characteristic L-shaped molecular structure. tRNAs have two regions of fundamental functional importance: the anti-codon, which is responsible for specific mRNA codon recognition, and the 3' end, to which the tRNAs corresponding amino acid is attached (by aminoacyl-tRNA synthetases). tRNAs cope with the degeneracy of the genetic code in two manners: having more than one tRNA (with a specific anti-codon) for a particular amino acid; and 'wobble' base-pairing, i.e. permitting non-standard base-pairing at the 3rd anti-codon position. The record is from RNAcentral. Lineage: Eukaryota; Metazoa; Arthropoda; Insecta; Coleoptera; Curculionidae.